GCCUACGGGGGGCAGCAGUCGAGAAUCAUUCACAAUGGGGGAAACCCUGAUGGUGCGACGCCGCGUGCAGGAAGAAGGUCUUCGGAUUGUAAACUGUUGUCGCAGGGGAAGAAGACAGUGACGGUACCCUGUGAGAAAGUCACGGCUAACUACGUGCCAGCAGCCGCGGUAAUACGUAGGUGACAAGCGUUGUCCGGAUUUACUGGGUGUAAAGGGCGCGUAGGCGGGAUAGCAAGUCAGUCGUGAAAUGCCGAGGCUUAACCUCGGAGCUGCGAUUGAAACUGUUAUUCUUGAGUAUCGGAGAG
RNAcentral lists this ribosomal RNA (305 nucleotides) under uncultured bacterium. RNAcentral's name for it is "bacterial SSU rRNA". It matches the Rfam family "Bacterial small subunit ribosomal RNA", at positions 337 to 656 of the family's 1533-position model. The record is from RNAcentral.